AAAGUGAUGAGAUUCCACUUCAUUGGUCCGUGUUUCUGAAACUCAUGAUAUGGUGGAAGUUCUGAUUUGGCAGAA
RNAcentral lists this small nucleolar RNA (75 nucleotides) under Ornithorhynchus anatinus (platypus). RNAcentral's name for it is "C/D box snoRNA Oa2171". It matches the Rfam family "Small nucleolar RNA SNORD18". From Rfam's summary of the family: U18 is a member of the C/D class of snoRNA which contain the C (UGAUGA) and D (CUGA) box motifs. It is encoded in introns of ribosomal protein L1 in Xenopus and human, and in introns of elongation factor 1 beta in yeast. Related snoRNAs in Arabidopsis and rice have been named R63 and Z106 respectively. Lineage: Eukaryota; Metazoa; Chordata; Mammalia; Monotremata; Ornithorhynchidae. The record is from RNAcentral.